GCGAGGAGUAUGCAUGUCGCACAGCGACACCCAACGGCAGAAGUCCCACAGGCCUCGUGACAGCAGCGGACGCGCGCGCGGUGGUAGCGGGGCCGCAUUGGAAGAGCGGUUGAAAUGACAGCAAACAGACGAAGCAAAUGACUUUCCCAUCACUGCACGAGGCAGACGGCUGAUGUGACCCAGACAAACGCUAAACUUUCUUUCUUCCAGAGGGACAAGGCCACACAUAUCUCCAGAUGAUUGCUGUGACCGCACCACCAUACCAGGCACACACCCCUCAAGCAUCCACCAAAAAUUGAAUGGUAGGUUCAACAUUUACACACAGACCACUCUUAAUUCAUUGUAAUGAGCUGUUUAGCGACAGCUUUAGUGCAAAGGCGUGCAAGGCAUGUGAUUUGAAUGAGCAGUCUUGUUUUGUGCAUUCACUCUCUAUUUUAGGUUGCCCAUCUGGUGGUGAUGGACAAUUACUUUGCCAUGAUUGCUGCCAGAUAAAAAAAAAAAAAAUACUUGAUUGCUGUUCCCAGAGAAGCAUAAAAAAGUGUAGAUUGUCUUCUGACAUUUUGGAGACCUUGGCCUUAAGUUUUUGCUACAAAUCACCAAUCAAGUUGAGAUCUGCAAACAUGAAGCAUUUAAAAAUAUCAUUGUUACUAUUAUAUUUGAAAAAUCCAGUUUCCUUUAUAAGAGUCAGUAAUAUGUGAAUUAUCAUAUCAUAUUUUUUUAAAUGAAAAUUUUAAAAGACCAGCACUGUUGAUUUUAUACUUUUUCUUUCUUUUGUUCUCAAUUUCAUCAGAUUAAUUUUGGAGAAGAUUUAGUGUAAUUUUUUUGGGGGGGGGAUCAUGUUUUCUCCAUUUUGUUUUGCAGCAGUGGUUAUGAAAAAGUGCUGAAGAGAAAUUUUAUUGAGAAUUUAAAAUAAUUAUUUAGUUACUAUGGCAAGCCACAAGCUCCCUGCUCCACUCCAUUCUGAUGCAUGUGCUUGUAGACGAUUAGCUCCAUGUAAGUCUCCGAGCUUGCAUUUGGCUCAAAACAAUAUAACUGGAUAAAAAUUUCAUUUUUAAUACAAGAAAUUGUAUUUCUUUAUUUAAAUUGUUGUGAAUCCGAAGCAGACGAGAAAAUGCCAUUGGAACAAGCUUGCAGAUGUGAUGUAGAAGCUACAAUUGGCGGGGCAAAAACUCCCUACUCAGCUCCAUUCUGAUGCAUCCAUUUGCAGAAAAAUAGAUCCAUGUACAUCUUUGUUUUUCUUGU
Molecule: long non-coding RNA, 1242 nt
Organism: Oryzias latipes (Japanese medaka)
Lineage: Eukaryota; Metazoa; Chordata; Actinopteri; Beloniformes; Adrianichthyidae
Source: RefSeq, a predicted model, not a curated record